Molecule: non-coding RNA, 52 nt
Organism: Aureimonas ureilytica
Lineage: Bacteria; Pseudomonadati; Pseudomonadota; Alphaproteobacteria; Hyphomicrobiales; Aurantimonadaceae
Source: Rfam
CCGCAUGGAGGUCCCCAUCCGCCAGCGAGAUUCGCCCGCGGAUGCGAUCCGC